RNAcentral lists this long non-coding RNA (3281 nucleotides) under Homo sapiens (human). Its description in RNAcentral is "TMEM161B divergent transcript". The record is from RNAcentral. Lineage: Eukaryota; Metazoa; Chordata; Mammalia; Primates; Hominidae.
GCAGCACAGGUACGUGGGCGGGCGGAUCGUGGUGGCUGCGCUUGCGAGGACCCUGAGGUAGAUUGGGUGGUUUCAACAGGAACGCAUCCACUGUCUGAGAGUUUAAACUUGAUUUUGUGAGGGGACGAACAGCGUGACAAUUAAAAGAAGAUCUGGGAAUCAAAAGCUUCCUGAGGCCUUCACCAGAAGCAGAUGCUGGUGCCGUGCUUCUACAGCCUGCAGAACUGAAGGACUUUACAGCUUCUCUUUCGCAUAUCCAAAUUGCCAGCAUCACCGCUCUUGCACUCCAAGCCAUUAUUAAGUAAAGUAAAGAACACAAACACUGUGAUACUGCUACACUUGAUCUGAUAACCAAGAAGUCUACUAAGUGACUAACAGCAGAGCAACUGGGAACCUAAUUCUGACCAAAAAGGAGGAAUUGUUUGGCUAAUUGGAAGUGACAGAAACCUUGGGAGAAAGCAACCGCAUACCAAGGAUAAUUAUAAGAAGAAGAGAAGACAUGGAGAAGAGGAGGGAGUAGUUGUGACCGUGGAGGCAGAGAAUGGAGUAAUGUGAUCAUAAAUCAAGGAAUGCUGACAGCCACUAAAGCUGGAGAAGGCCAAGGACAGAUAUUCAAUCCUCCCGUAGAAGUACAGCCCUGCUAAUGCAUUGAUUUUGGACUUCUGGCCUCAGAACUAUUUAUAUAUCAGCUUUUUAUCAGUUGAAAUAAACCACCCUGGGCCGGGUGCAGUGGCUCACACCUGUAAUCCCAGCACUUUGGGAGGCCGAGGCAGGUAGAUCAUUUGAGGUCAGGAGUUCAAGGCCAGCCUGACCAACAUGGUGAAACCGCAUCUCUACUAAAAAAUACAAAAAUUAGCCCGGUGUUGUGGCAGGCGCUUGCAAUCCCAGCUACUCAGGAGGCUGAGGCACAAGAAUUCCUUGAACCUGGGAGGUGGAGGUUGCAGUGAGUCGAAACCAAGCCACUGCCCUCCAGUCUGGGCAACAGAUUGAGAGUCUGUCUCGAAAAAAAUAAAUACAUAAAAUAAAUAAGCCACACUGUACUUGUGAAGAUUAACUGAGAUGUUUAAAACAUUAUUUGCAAAAAUGCAAGACAUGAUGUAAGUGUAAAGCAUUAUUAUAUAUCAACAUAAUUGACCAUUAGAAAAAUGCAAAUUAACACCUCAAUGAGAUAUAUCACCAGACACCUGUUAGAAUGGUUAAAAUAAAAAGUACUGAUGAUAUUAAGUGCUGAUAAAAUGCAGAGUAACUCGAUCUCUCAUACAUUGCUGAUGCUAAUGUAAAAUGAUAUCACCACUCUAGAAAACAGUUUGGCAGUUUCUUAUAAAGUUAAACAUGCACUUACUAUACAACCCAGUAAUACACCUACUGGAUAUUCAUUCUAGGGAGAUCAAAAUUUACACCCAAAAACAUGUACAUAAAUGUUCAUAUCAGCUUUAUUUACAAUAGCCCAAAAGGAAACAAUCAGAUGUCCUCCAAUUGAUAACUGGUAUAACCCUAUCACAGAAUCCUACUGAGCAAUAAAAAGGAAAGCACUGUUGAUACAUACAACAACUUGAGUGCAUUUCAAGGCUGUUAUGCUGACUGAAAUAAAAGCUAAUCUCAAAAGGUUAUGUAUUAUGUGAUUCUGUUUAUAUAACAUUCUCAAAUUGCAAAAUCACAGCAAUGAAGAACUGAUCAGUAGUGCCAGGGGUUAGGGUUGUGGGGAGGGUGUGAUGAUGAAUGGGCAGCGUAAGAGAAUUUCUUUGGAGUGAUGGAAUAGUUUUAUAUCUUGAUUAUAGUGAUCAUUAUAUUAAACAAUUGCAUGUGAUAAAAUUCUAUAGGACUGUAUGCCAAAAAUAACUUAAUAUGUUUAUUUUUAAGGUCUGGAAAGCAUGGAAAUUUGUAUCUUCAUUCACUUUUGUUUUCAUGGACUCUUUUCAUGUUUGAACUUUUCAUGGUAUGAGCUGUUUUAUAAUCUAUAAUAUGGAAUGUUUCUCAUACGAAUGUUUUUCUUAUUGAAGAAUGCCAUAGAAAUAAGGGUGUGAGGUAUACUUACUUGACAGGAGAAUUUUACUCCUUUUAUUUUAUUUACUUAUUUAUUUUUAAGACGGAGUCCUGCUGUGUUGUCCAGGCUGGUCUUGAACCCCUGGACUCAAACGAUCUUUCUCCUUGGCCUCCCAAAGUUCUGGGAUUACAGGUAUGAGCUACAGUGCCCUGAGAGUCCUUUUUAAAGUAGUGAAUGCUCAAACAUGGAAUUAAAUUUAGGCAAAGCUCACUUUUAUUUAUACAUAAAACAACUUCAGCCAUGUACCUCAUAACGAUAUUUUGGCCAAUGUCUGACCUUAUAUACAAUGGUUGUCCUGUACGAUUAUAAUGAAGCUGAAAAUUUUCUAUUGCCUAGUAACAUUGUAGUAAUUGUAAUGUAGCACAACCUAUCACACGUGUUUGUAGUGAUGCUGGUGUAAACAAACCGACUGCAUUGCCAGUCUAGUAUAAAAGUCUAGCACACACAAUUAUCCACAGUAUAUAAUAGUUGAUAAUGAUAAUAAACAACUGUCACUGGCUUAUAUAUUUGCUAUACUAUACUUUUUAUCAUUAUUUUAGAGUAUAUUUAGAGUAUAUUAAGCAGCCUUAGGCAGGUCUUUCAGGAGGCAUUCCAGAAGAAGGCAUUGUUAUCAUAGGAGGUGACAGCUCCCUGUGUGUUGUUGCCCCUGAAGAACUUCCAGUGGGACAAGAUAUGGUGGUGAAAGACAGUGAUAUUGAUGAUCUUGACCCUGUGUAGGCUUAGGCUCAUGUGUUUGUGUCUUCAUUCUUUUUUUUUUUUUGAGAUGGGGUCUCGCACUGUUGCCCAGGCUGGAGUGCAGUGGCGCGACCUUGGCUCACUGCAAGCUCCGCCUCCUGGGUUGAUGCCAUUCUCCUGCCUCAGCCUCCCAAGUAGCUGGGACUACAGGUGCCCACCACUACGCCUGACUAAUUUUUUGUACUUUUAGUAGAGACGGGGUUUCACCAUGUUAGCCAGGAUGGUCUUGAUCUCCUGACCUCGUGAUCCGCCCGCCUCGGCCUCCCAAAGUGCUGGGAUUACAGUAUUUAAGACAUUUUUAUAAAUUAAAAAUUUUUUAAAUAGAAAAAAGCCUAUAGCAUAAGGAUAUAAAGAAAAAGUAUUUUUAUGCAGCUGCACAAUGUAUUUGUGUUUUAAACUGUGUUAUUAUGCAAGAGUUACAGAGUUUUUAAAAAUAAAAAGUUUAUAAAGUAAAAAACUUACAACACAUCAAAAGAUAAUACACCAUGAUCAAGUGGGCUUU